AGUCUGCAUGCUCAAGUCAUCACCUUUAAUCUCCAAUGCACCUCCUGACUUGGAUACUUCUGUAAUCUUCUGCAACUCCUGAGUUGGUUCAUUAAGAGGAGGUGCUGAUUGAUUCUCAGCACCUUGUUCCUUCAAAAUUGAUGUUUUUGGUCGUCUUAUGGCUUCAACUGCUUCAGGCAUUGCAACGGGAGGUGGCUGCGGAGGAACCCAUGUGCGCGGGAUUGGCCGUUGAUAGGUUUGAUCACCAUAAGAUCCACCCUUCAAUUCAUCUUCGUUCUCAAUCUCUGUAAUUCUAGGAUUUUUCUGCUGCCACCAAGGAACUGAAUUGUCUCCAUCAAACU
RNAcentral lists this long non-coding RNA (341 nucleotides) under Carica papaya (papaya). Its description in RNAcentral is "long non-coding RNA (CPAP_LNC002565)". The record is from RNAcentral. Lineage: Eukaryota; Viridiplantae; Streptophyta; Magnoliopsida; Brassicales; Caricaceae.